UGGGGAAUUUUGGACAAUGGGCGCAAGCCUGAUCCAGCAAUGCCGCGUGUGUGAAGAAGGCCUUCGGGUUGUAAAGCACUUUUGUCCGGAAAGAAAUCCGUCUGGCUAAUACCCGGACGGGAUGACGGUACCGGAAGAAUAAGCACCGGCUAACUACGUGCCAGCAGCCGCGGUAAUACGUAGGGUGCGAGCGUUAAUCGGAAUUACUGGGCGUAAAGCGUGCGCAGGCGGCUUUGUAAGACAGAUGUGAAAUCCCCGGGCUCAACCUGGGAACUGCAUUUGUGACUGCAAGGCUAGAAUGCGUCAGAGGGAGGUGGAAUUCCGCGUGUAGCAGUGAAAUGCGUAGAGAUGCGGAGGAACACCGAUGGCGAAGGCAGCCUCCUGGGAUGACACUGACGCUCAUGCACGAAAGCGUGGGGAGCAAACA
RNAcentral lists this ribosomal RNA (427 nucleotides) under uncultured bacterium. Its description in RNAcentral is "bacterial SSU rRNA". It matches the Rfam family "Bacterial small subunit ribosomal RNA", at positions 355 to 774 of the family's 1533-position model. The record is from RNAcentral.